GUGCUUGCUUUAGCAGCACAACUACCAAAAUUGGAAUAAUACAGAGAUUAGUUAGCAUGGCCCUUGCAUAAAGAUAACAAGCAAAUUUGUGAGGAAUUCAUAUUUUUA
Molecule: small nuclear RNA, 108 nt
Organism: Suncus etruscus (white-toothed pygmy shrew)
Lineage: Eukaryota; Metazoa; Chordata; Mammalia; Eulipotyphla; Soricidae
Source: RefSeq, a predicted model, not a curated record